Molecule: transfer RNA, 88 nt
Filed under: Candidatus Avibacteroides avistercoris
Lineage: Bacteria; Pseudomonadati; Bacteroidota; Bacteroidia; Bacteroidales; Bacteroidaceae
Description: tRNA-Ser
Rfam family: tRNA
About the family: Transfer RNA (tRNA) molecules are approximately 80 nucleotides in length. Their secondary structure includes four short double-helical elements and three loops (D, anti-codon, and T loops). Further hydrogen bonds mediate the characteristic L-shaped molecular structure. tRNAs have two regions of fundamental functional importance: the anti-codon, which is responsible for specific mRNA codon recognition, and the 3' end, to which the tRNAs corresponding amino acid is attached (by aminoacyl-tRNA synthetases). tRNAs cope with the degeneracy of the genetic code in two manners: having more than one tRNA (with a specific anti-codon) for a particular amino acid; and 'wobble' base-pairing, i.e. permitting non-standard base-pairing at the 3rd anti-codon position.
Source: RNAcentral
GGAAAGGUGCUCGAGUGGUUGAAGAGGCACGCCUGGAAAGCGUGUAUGCGCCUAAAGCGCAUCACGGGUUCGAAUCCCGUCCUUUCCG